This 453-nucleotide ribosomal RNA is filed under the name uncultured bacterium. RNAcentral describes it as "SSU rRNA". It matches the Rfam family "Bacterial small subunit ribosomal RNA", at positions 26 to 518 of the family's 1533-position model. The record is from RNAcentral.
AGAGCGAACGCUGGCGGCAUGCUUAACACAUGCAAGUCGCACGAUCGGGGGUAACUCCGGUAGUGGCGGACGGGUGAGUAACGCGUAGGUAUCUAUCCUUGGGUGGGGGACAACCACGGGAAACUGUGGCUAAUACCGCAUGACGACUGAGGUCCAAAGGCCGAAAGGUCGCCUGAGGAGGAGCCUGCGUCCGAUUAGCUUGUUGGUGGGGUAAUGGCCUACCAAGGCUGCGAUCGGUAGCUGGUCUGAGAGGAUGAUCAGCCACAUUGGGACUGAGACACGGCCCAAACUCCUACGGGAGGCAGCAGUGGGGAAUAUUGGACAAUGGGCGAAAGCCUGAUCCAGCAAUGCCGCGUGUGUGAAGAAGGUCUUCGGAUUGUAAAGCACUUUCGACGGGGACGAUGAUGACGGUACCCGUAGAAGACGCCCGGCUAACUUCGUGCCAGCAGCCGC